CAAACCAAGCUCGUAUCCCACUCUCCUAUUGUCAACCCAUCUCUCUUCUCUACUUUCGAGCGCCACCAAGCUAGGGUUUGCGGCCGCCGCCAACCUAGCUCCGACCGGCACCGUGGAUAUCCUCUUCGGCUACAACUUGCAUGUUGUUUCCCCGCCGAGAUUCGUGAUGCAAUUCGAGGUUGCUUGCCGCAUGCUCCUUUCUCCAUAGGUUACAGGCCACCUCGAGGUUCCCCUAUCUGCCAUCCACUCCGUUGCCCUGACUCCCACUGGCCCGCCCCCCUCCCCGUACGCAACACUAUCAAUGACCGACUGGAGCAGUGACAGGACAACCAUCUUUGUCCCCAGUCCCAAUCUCCCACAAGACCCUGCAGCCCAAGAUCACUUCCGGCGGCCGCAUGUGCUUCCGCUCUGCCCUAGGGGCCGAGGUUGCACGGGUUGCUGAUGUUUCAGUCGAGUUCUUCGAUUUGGAUGUGGCAAGUGGGUUCAUUUUUUCAAUCUUUGUUCUCUGGAUCAUCAUCCUUUAGUUCUUUACCUAAUGUCUGAUUUGUUGGCAGAUUUGGUUUGUGCGUUUUCUUGCUUGAGGCACCAGUUUUAGAGAAAUAGGUAAUUUAAAAUUUUACUUUUGUUAGCUCUCUGGAUGGAGUACGUAAUUUCACUUUUGUCAGGAUGAUUUCUGUAUGCUUCAUGUUUAAUUUUUCCAAUGAUUUAGGUCUUUGGUCUCCUUUGAGUAUAUCCAGCAAACAAGAAAUUUCCUAAACCUGGAGCCUAUUAAGCACGAAUAGGCGAGUGGCUACAUCCUUUUGUGCCUAUCAGGGUCUCAAGGAGGAAGAAGCGGGUAGUAUUUUUUUGUCAUCAACUAUUUUUAGCAAAUUGCAGGCUGCAACAUGAGCUCAUGGACGGAAAAUAAUUAAGAGAGCAGAAGUUACAAGGAUAAUAACAUCAUUAAACUGCUAUUGAAUUUUCAAAUUACAUAGAGCAGAAGUGGCAUCCUUACAGGGAUAGUAUAAAACAUACUACUACCUUUCUAACUUCUUAUAAGACAUUUUUAGAGUCUAUGACUAUGUCAAAAAGCGUCUUAUAUUAAGUUAUACUCCCGUGUUACCUACUCUAGUCAUAUGUGGAAGUAGAGGGAGAGUGUCUAUGAUAGUUUCUACACCCGUGUUACCUACUUCAGUCAUAGUCAGUUAUUCAUUCUAGGUUGCAAUUAUCUCAGUUUGAAGUAGGCUAAUAAGACACGUAAUAAUAUCUCUGUCAAGAUAUGUUAGUCAUUCCUUUAAUGAAAAGAUUGUACUAACACAUUCUUCUCUACAGUUCCUAGAAUAUGCAUAUGUUUCAGACAUAUAUAUGACAUCUGUAUGUUGAUCAUGACUAAUUCAUUAGCAGUAAGCUGUUUUUCUUUUGUAAGGACUUCCUUUUAUUUCUCCUUUGUAUCAACAC
Molecule: long non-coding RNA, 1437 nt
Filed under: Triticum aestivum (bread wheat)
Lineage: Eukaryota; Viridiplantae; Streptophyta; Magnoliopsida; Poales; Poaceae
Description: long non-coding RNA (TAES_LNC008794)
Source: RNAcentral